RNAcentral lists this transfer RNA (71 nucleotides) under Polypterus retropinnis (West African bichir). RNAcentral's name for it is "tRNA-Gln". It matches the Rfam family "tRNA". From Rfam's summary of the family: Transfer RNA (tRNA) molecules are approximately 80 nucleotides in length. Their secondary structure includes four short double-helical elements and three loops (D, anti-codon, and T loops). Lineage: Eukaryota; Metazoa; Chordata; Cladistia; Polypteriformes; Polypteridae. The record is from RNAcentral.
UAGGAAGUGGUGUAAUGGGAGCACUGAAAGUUUUGAUCUUUCUAGUGGAGGUUCAAGUCCUUCUUUCCUAG